CCCGAAGACGUGAUGUGGAGCGAAAUAAAGUAGUGAAGCGUGUGAGCCAUGUGCCGAGAAAAGCUGCUAUUGUGUAAUGCGUGCCCGUACCGUAAACCGACACAGGUGGAUGAGGAGAGAAUCCUAAGGCCGACGGAAGAAGCAUUGUUAAGGAAUUCGGCAAAAUGACCCCGUAACUUCGGGAGAAGGGGUGCCUGCGAGAGCAGGCCGCAGAGAAUAGGCUCAAGCAACUGUUUAGCAAAAACACAGGUCUAUGCGAAACCGAAAGGUGAAGUAUAUGGGCUGACGCCUGCCCGGUGCUGGAAGGUUAAGAGGAGAGGUUAGCGUAAGCGAAGCUUUGAAUUUAAGCCCCAGUAAACGGCGGCCGUAACUAUAACGGUCCUAAGGUAGCGAAAUUCCUUGUCGGGUAAGUUCCGACCCGCACGAAAGGCGUAAUGAUUUGAGCACUGUCUCGACAAUGCAUCCGGUGAAAUUGAAGUACCAGUGAAGAUGCUGGUUACCCGCGCCAGGACGGAAAGACCCCAUGGAGCUUUACUCCAGUUUGAUACUGGGAUUCGGUACUGCAUGUACAGGAUAGGUGGGAGACGAAGAAGGAUGGACGCCAGUCUGUCCGGAGUCGCUGUUGGGAUACCACCCCUGUAGUACUGGGUUUCUAACCAGUUGCCAUGAUCUGGUAAUGGGACAAUGUCAGGCGGGGAGUUUGACUGGGGCGGUCGCCUCCGAAAGGGUAUCGGAGGCGCUCAAAGGUUCCCUCAGAAUGGUUGGAAACCAUUUGAAGAGUGCAAAGGCAGAAGGGAGCUUGACUGCGACACCGACGGGUGGAGCAGGUACGAAAGUAGGACUUAGUGAUCCGGUGGUAUAAAGUGGGAUUGCCAUCGCUCAACGGAUAAAAGCUACCCUGGGAUAACAGGCUUAUCACUCCCAAGAGUUCACAUCGACGGAGUGGUUUGGCACCUCGAUGUCGGCUCAUCGCAUCCUGGGGCUGUAGCAGGUCCCAAGGGUUGGGCUGUUCGCCCAUUAAAGCGGUACGCGAGCUGGGUUCAGAACGUCGUGAGACAGUUCGGUCCCUAUCCGGCGCGGGCGGAGGAUAUUUGAGAGGAGCUGUCCUUAGUACGAGAGGACCGGGAUGGACGGACCACUGGUGUAUCUGUUGUCGACCAACGGCAUGGCAGAGUAGCCAAGUCUGGAAGGGAUAAACGCUGAAGGCAUCUAAGCGUGAAGCCCCCCUCAAGAUGAGAUAUCCCUCCUAUAAGGAGUAAGACCCCUUGAAGACUACAAGGUAGAUAGGGCAGAGGUGGAAGCAUGGCAACAUGUGGAGCUGACUGUUACUAAUAGGUCGAGGGCC
RNAcentral lists this ribosomal RNA (1345 nucleotides) under metagenome. RNAcentral describes it as "bacterial LSU rRNA". It matches the Rfam family "Bacterial large subunit ribosomal RNA", at positions 1554 to 2925 of the family's 2925-position model. The record is from RNAcentral.